CUAUGAUUUUUAAAAAGUCAUGGCGGAAGGAG
Molecule: non-coding RNA, 32 nt
Filed under: unclassified sequences
Description: L31-Firmicutes ribosomal protein leader
Rfam family: L31-Firmicutes ribosomal protein leader
Source: RNAcentral